This is a long non-coding RNA of Ictidomys tridecemlineatus (thirteen-lined ground squirrel), 2042 nucleotides long. The record is from Ensembl. NCBI's taxonomy places the organism in Eukaryota, Metazoa, Chordata, Mammalia, Rodentia, Sciuridae.
AUGGGACCCCUUGAGGCCAAACCCAGAGGGGUUGGACGAGCAGGCGGGGCUCCUUGCGUCUCUGCAGUCCCCGUCGGGCGUGCCCUGCGUGGCGCACCAACCCAAGCCACAUUCAAGGUGAAUCAUCCCUGGCCCGCCUCCUGUCCCUCCCCCGCCUCUCGGCACCUGAGCCAAUGGCACGGCGCGGGGGGCGGGCGGGGCACAGGGGGCGGUAAAACCCUCUUGGAGUCAUUAUCUCUGCACUCGGUCGAGUCCCAGCGCCUCCGCGCCGAAAGACCGCCGGCCUCCCUCCGUCUGCGCGGUCGGAGGCAGGCCGGUGCACCCUGUUCUACGGCCUCUAGGGCCCUAGUACCAGGGUGCAUUCUGCCUGCCGCGCGAAGGCGUCUGCUCCUCAGGUGGCCCGGCCGGGGCCUUUCCCUGCAGACCUGUCACCCGACACCCAGGAAGCGCGCGGCCCCAUCCCGGCUCCUCUUUGUUCCCCUUCUGGGCUCCGCGCUGGGGCGCCGCCUCCUCCUGCCCGGGCAGUGGAGAUUAGGGGCGCCGCCCUGGCCCAACCUGGCGCGCCUCAAGUUCCAUCCAUCCGGCCCGCUCCAAACGUGGGCCCUUUUUUUUCUUGUUCUUCCCGUGUGGACCCCGCGCGGAGCUGGGAGGCGGCAGUGCGCCCAGCCCCGAGCCGGCGCAGGUGCUGCUGAGCUGGUCCUGCAGUGGGAGGUAGGCACUACUGGAUACAGGUUCUCAAGGCUCUUCUCCAGGUGUCGGCCCAGGCAUGAGCUGAAACUUCAAGGGAUGGAAGCCUCCCCCUGCACUGGCCCUGCUGGGGUUUCCUAGUCACCACUUUACCAUCUUCUGUUGACUCCUUGCUGGACCCUUAAGGACGUUUUGGGUGAAUUCCAUAAUUCUGUGAACAUAUCCCACCAUUAAGUCAUCUACAUGGAAGCUUCAGUCUCUGAGGAAGGCAAGUCCCAGGGAAUUGGGUGUUAGGAUUGUCUGCCUCCUGAACCUUUUCUUUCUUUCCUUGUGGUCCAGAUCCUCCGGGAUUGGGGAUCUGGGAGGGUGGUGGACACAUCUUGGAGGACAGGAAGGGAAGGCAGAAAUUCUCAAGAGCUUCCCCAAGAUGAAGUACCCUAACAGCCUCUCCCAUUCCUUGCAGUCUCAAAUGGACCUGGGAGCUCUCCAGAAGCAGGCCCAUUUUGCAGCUUCAUGCUCCUAUGGUUGGCAGUUUUCUAAAGCAUGUUCCAAUGUCAGUUGUGGCUCUGGUCACCAAUCCCAGGGAAGGGAAAAGUCCAGGCAAUUUCUUGCUACACCAAUUGACUUGCUUACCACCCAUCCCACAGAUAAUGAUCUGCACAUAAACAUUUAGAUGCCUUAUUAUUCUAACUCUCAGAAUAUCUUUGCAAUUGAGAUGUUUUAAAGUAAUAUAUAUAAAGUAAUACUUACGGCUUUCAAAGCCUAAGGAAAUAAUCAAAGUUAUUUUUCAAGCUGGGCACAGUGGCGCAUGCCUGUAAUCCCAGUGGCUCAGGAGGCUGAGGCAGGAGGAUAGCAGAUUCAAAGCCAGUCUCAGUAAAAGCAAGGCACUAAGCAAUUCAGUGAGAUCCUGUCUCUAAAAUACAAAAUAGGGUUGGUGAUGUGGCUCAGUGGUCAAGCCAGAGUUCAAUCUCCAGUACCAAAAAAAAAAAAAAAAAAAGUUACUUGAAUAUAAAAUAACUUAGAAUUAUCUUAAGCUUUUAAAGGAGUACUUGGUGCUUUGUUCUUUAUUCCCUUUCUAGGAACCCAGACACUUUGCUAGGCCAGAGCUAAGUGGAAACCUUCAUCAUUUCACCGAUGUUGACUUCGAGUUGGCAAUGUGGGACUUCCUUUGGUCUGACUUCUUCUCAUUCUUGUUUUUUUUUUUUUUUUUUUUAAACUUCAUUGUAUAAAAUCUUUUAUGUAACCUGCUUCAUUUUUUUUAAAGUUUAAAAUGCCUGAUUUUUUUUUGGAGAUAAUAAAAAAUGUUCUAAAAUUAGUAUGGUGAUUGUUGUACAAUUUUGUAAAUACAGUAAAAA